UACGAAGGGGGCUAGCGUUGUUCGGAUUUACUGGGCGUAAAGCGCACGUAGGCGGAUUGGUCAGUUAGGGGUGAAAUCCUGGAGCUCAACCCCAGAACUGCCUUUAAUACUGCCAGUCUCGAGUCCGGAAGAGGUAAGUGGAACUCCUAGUGUAGAGGUGGAAUUCGUAGAUAUUAGGAAGAACACCAGUGGCGAAGGCGGCUUACUGGUCCGGUACUGACGCUGAGGUGCGAAAGCGUGGGGAGCAAACAGG
Molecule: ribosomal RNA, 253 nt
Filed under: uncultured bacterium
Lineage: Bacteria
Description: partial 16S ribosomal RNA
Rfam family: Bacterial small subunit ribosomal RNA
Source: RNAcentral